UGCACACAUCCCCCAUACUGGACCCCAUCCAAGCAAUGCAACAGAAAUCGACAAGGGGAGCAAACGCAGCAAGAAAUUCUAAAAAAAUUGGAAAUUUCUGGUUGCGGAACAAGAAAGAGGGAAGCUUUGCAUUCUACAGGGAGAAUACUGACCUAGAGUGGCUAGGAUCUGGCGCCUCCCGGAACCGCGCGGCCGGCCCCGGCGGCGCCCGGAGCUCAGGCUGGCGUGCUCGCUCUGCCCGGCCGUUUGCGUGCCGUUGUCCACCACCACGGCCCCACUCGGCGUCUCGCCGCCCAAGCUCCAGGCAAGCGGAGUCGCGGCGGCGUCCCCGGCGUGGCCAGCCGCAGCCGCUGGCGGCGACGGCGUGGGGGACGUCGACGGCGAGGAUGGAGAGGACUGGUAGCCUUUCGCUGCUGCUUCUUGCGCCUCCGCCAUGGCGAUGUCUGCUGCUCUGAACAUGCUGCCGUGGCCGGAUUCGCGGCCAACUGCAAUACCCUCCCUUCCCUCCAUCUGCAUGCAAAGGGCUCUUCUUGGUUGAGUCCUGGGACUUGCUUACUCUGGGAAAAUUUCUUGCUCCCGGUGGUUCGGUUCUUUGCUUGCUUGGAGCCUUGGACUCGAACAGAGAACCGCAGACAAGAACAGACACCUAUUCUAGUUUGGGUCUGUGUCCGGUUACUACCAGGCACCAGCAAGCAGCAGCUGGGUCGUGCCAGUAUUAUACCCAAGUCAUCAGGGAUUGGAUUUUGAAUACGGGCAAAUGGCAGAGAUAAAUAAAAAUAAAUGAGAGAUUUUUAGCACGAG
This 801-nucleotide unclassified non-coding RNA is filed under the name Zea mays. Its description in RNAcentral is "misc RNA Zm00001eb196680". Lineage: Eukaryota; Viridiplantae; Streptophyta; Magnoliopsida; Poales; Poaceae. The record is from RNAcentral.